RNAcentral lists this transfer RNA (72 nucleotides) under Cordylochernes scorpioides. Its description in RNAcentral is "tRNA-Thr". The record is from RNAcentral. Lineage: Eukaryota; Metazoa; Arthropoda; Arachnida; Pseudoscorpiones; Chernetidae.
UGUCUAGGGGCGGGAAUCGAACCCACAACGUUCCGCUUACCGGGCAGAUGCCAUGUCCACUAGGCUACUUAC